GACGAAGGGGGCUAGCGUUGUUCGGAAUUACUGGGCGUAAAGCGUGCGCAGGCGGUUUUGUAAGUCUGUCGUGAAAUCCCCGGGCUUAACCUGGGAAUGGCGAUGGAGACUGCAAGGCUAGAGUUUGGCAGAGGGGGGUAGAAUUCCACGUGUAGCAGUGAAAUGCGUAGAGAUGUGGAGGAACACCGAUGGCGAAGGCAGCCCCCUGGGUCAAAACUGACGCUCAUGCACGAAAGCGUGGGGAGCAAACAGG
Molecule: ribosomal RNA, 253 nt
Filed under: uncultured bacterium
Lineage: Bacteria
Description: partial 16S ribosomal RNA
Rfam family: Bacterial small subunit ribosomal RNA
Source: RNAcentral